CUUGGUGUAAACCCUAACUGUGGGUUUAUUGUCAGUGUAUUUUUCGGGGAUUUUAUGGUGAUCGGUAUGGUGGUGAUUGAUGAUCGGAGGCAUGUGGGGGAUAUGGUGAGUGUUCUCGUGAUAGACAUGGUGGAUGGUUUGCGGUGGUGGUGGUGGUGGUGGAUGGUGGUAUUCUGCCGUGUACGGAGGAGGGUAGACAUCAACACGGUUUGGAGGUGGUGGGUAAGCAAGAUGAGGUGGAGGAGGGUAGUGAGGUGGUGGUCCACCGCCGAAGUGUGGUGGAGGUGGGUACUGUGGUUCGUCGUCACGGCGGUGGUGGUGGUGGUGGUUGUGACCGUAUGGAUCCAUUACUUGAAAACAAAGCUGAACUGAUGAAGUUCCUCCGCAGGCAACGCCCAAACUUACAUAG
RNAcentral lists this long non-coding RNA (409 nucleotides) under Lactuca sativa (garden lettuce). RNAcentral's name for it is "long non-coding RNA (LSAT_LNC001627)". Lineage: Eukaryota; Viridiplantae; Streptophyta; Magnoliopsida; Asterales; Asteraceae. The record is from RNAcentral.